GAUGAACGCUGGCGGCGUGCCUAAUACAUGCAAGUCGAGCGAACAGACGAGGAGCUUGCUCCUCUGACGUUAGCGGCGGACGGGUGAGUAACACGUGGAUAACCUACCUAUAAGACUGGGAUAACUUCGGGAAACCGGAGCUAAUACCGGAUAAUAUAUUGAACCGCAUGGUUCAAUAGUGAAAGACGGUUUUGCUGUCACUUAUAGAUGGAUCCGCGCCGCAUUAGCUAGUUGGUAAGGUAACGGCUUACCAAGGCGACGAUGCGUAGCCGACCUGAGAGAGUGAUCAGCCACACUGGAACUGAGACACGGUCCAGACUCCUACGGGAGGCGGCAGUAGGGAAUCUUCCGCAAUGGGCGAAAGCCUGACGGAGCAACGCCGCGUGGGUGAUGAAGGUCUUCGGAUCGUAAAACUCUGUUAUUAGGGAAGAACAAAUGUGUAAGUAACUAUGCACAUCUUGACGGUACCUAAUCAGAAAGCCACGGCUAACUACGUG
Molecule: ribosomal RNA, 497 nt
Filed under: uncultured bacterium
Lineage: Bacteria
Description: partial 16S ribosomal RNA
Rfam family: Bacterial small subunit ribosomal RNA
Source: RNAcentral